This 581-nucleotide ribosomal RNA is filed under the name uncultured bacterium. RNAcentral's name for it is "partial 16S ribosomal RNA". It matches the Rfam family "Bacterial small subunit ribosomal RNA", at positions 355 to 932 of the family's 1533-position model. The record is from RNAcentral.
UGGGGAAUUUUGGACAAUGGGCGCAAGCCUGAUCCAGCCAUGCCGCGUGCGGGAAGAAGGCCUUCGGGUUGUAAACCGCUUUUGUCAGGGAAGAAAUCUUCUGAGUUAAUACCUCGGGAGGAUGACGGUACCUGAAGAAUAAGCACCGGCUAACUACGUGCCAGCAGCCGCGGUAAUACGUAGGGUGCAAGCGUUAAUCGGAAUUACUGGGCGUAAAGCGUGCGCAGGCGGUUUUGUAAGACAGAGGUGAAAUCCCCGGGCUCAACCUGGGAACUGCCUUUGUGACUGCAAGGCUUGAGUGCGGCAGAGGGGGAUGGAAUUCCGCGUGUAGCAGUGAAAUGCGUAGAUAUGCGGAGGAACACCGAUGGCGAAGGCAAUCCCCUGGGCCUGCACUGACGCUCAUGCACGAAAAGCGUGGGGAGCAAAACAGGAUUAGAUACCCUGGUAGUCCACGCCCUAAACGAUGUCAACUGGUUGUUGGGAAGGUUCCUUCUCAGUAACGUAGCUAACGAGUGAAGUUGACCGCCUGGGGAGUACGGCCGCAAGGUUGAAACUCAAAUGAAUUGACGGGGUCAUAGCUG